Molecule: long non-coding RNA, 542 nt
Filed under: Homo sapiens (human)
Lineage: Eukaryota; Metazoa; Chordata; Mammalia; Primates; Hominidae
Description: non-protein coding LINC02188:11
Source: RNAcentral
GAAUAUUGAAAUUCUCACCUACAAUGUGAUGCUAUCAAAAGAGAUUGCUGGUGAGACAGCAGCCACUGCUCCCAGGCCCGACAACAGGGGCAGCACCAAAGCUGGUCAGUGUUUCCUCCUUACAGGUCUGAAGGUGCUGCAGAGGAGGGUGCUUCCCAGAGAUCACCCCUGUGACAGACAGAUCGAUUGAAGGACCCCUGAAUGGCUGAAUUGAGAAGAACAAGCAUAUUAGGAGGCCAUACAAUGGGAGCCUCUCAGGCAGACAGACAAAGCCGUGGAAACUGCAGACUUAUUUGUAUGUUCUGGUAAACACCUUUGCUUCAUUUUCCCCGUCUCCGCCUGGACUGAGGGUCACCUCACCUCUCCUGGUGUCCAGAGCCUCCUUCAGGACAGAUGUUGCAAACCUGAGUUCUCACAAACAGCGGGGUCCAGCCCUUCUCAACACUGGAAAGCCCUUGAGCCAUCUUUGAUUUGUGUGUUUUGAUCUAAUUGCACUACUGCUUGCAAUGCUUGUUUUUAGCGGUGAGUGCUGGUUUAAUUUG